This 274-nucleotide ribosomal RNA is filed under the name uncultured bacterium. RNAcentral's name for it is "partial 16S ribosomal RNA". It matches the Rfam family "Bacterial small subunit ribosomal RNA", at positions 523 to 796 of the family's 1533-position model. The record is from RNAcentral.
AUACAGAGGGUGCGAGCGUUAAUCGGAAUUACUGGGCGUAAAGCGUGCGUAGGCGGUUAGUUAAGUCAGAUGUGAAAGCCCUGGGCUCAACCUGGGAAUUGCAUUUGAUACUGGUUGACUUGAGUAUGGGAGAGGGAAGUGGAAUUUCCGGUGUAGCGGUGAAAUGCGUAGAUAUCGGAAGGAACACCAGUGGCGAAGGCGACUUCCUGGACCAUUACUGACGCUGAAGCACGAAAGCGUGGGGAGCAAACAGGAUUAGAUACCCUAGUAGUCC